This 1556-nucleotide long non-coding RNA is filed under the name Coffea arabica (coffee). RNAcentral's name for it is "long non-coding RNA (CARA_LNC003654)". Lineage: Eukaryota; Viridiplantae; Streptophyta; Magnoliopsida; Gentianales; Rubiaceae. The record is from RNAcentral.
GAAACUUGAUUUAAGUUCAACAGCGUCCACUACUUCCUAAUGACCCUCACUGAGCAAAAAAUCUAAUGGGGCAAGAUUUUCCUCUAUAAAAGUUACCCCAACACCUAAAUUUGUAGCAUGACGUAUCUGAGGUGGGCUGCCAACCAACAGCCUCUCAAACCUAUUUUUCUGAUGAUCAUAUGAAUAAAUUGGCACGCAAGCUGACUUCGACUUCUUCUGAUCUAGUAACUUAAGGUUGGAAAACAAUAUUUGGCCGGUGGGAAGAUUGCCAACAAAUACGGCAGUUCUCUCUUCUGAAUCUGAUCCAAGUGGCCAGGGGAUAUAUUGCUUGAUCCAACAUUUGGCGUCAUUACCAUCAUGAUCUAGCAAGUGAACCCCAAAACAGACAUAAUCAGAAUUCAACAGGCCUAGGUGUCCCUUGAACUGCACAAAUUGCCAUUCCUUUGGAUGGACUAAAAAUUUGUAAUCCGGCGGGGGUUGAAUCAGAUCAAACCUGUCUUUCUUGAAGUCAAAAGAAACUAGUCUUGGCUGAUUAUCAAGGCAAUUAACAAUCCAAUACAUUACUCCUUUAACUAAAAGGUACCAAGCAGAGGAAAGGCCUGACCCUUCAGAAGACACGACCUCGUCCAGCUCUGGGGAGUCGACGUCUAGUGCUGCAGAGGAGUCGGCCGAGGAGGGAACUGUCGAGACCACCCCAGGGUUGGAAUGGGUGGUUCCGAGAUCUUAUAUAAUGACGAUCUCGGAACUGAAAUACCCCACAAUGAGGGCGUGCUGGAGCCGGUCGCACCAAAGGAUGUCGCUGAAAUAAACUUCGGCAAGAUGCUAACAGGUGUCGAGCCUGUGCAAUAAAAAAUACCUGCUCGAGAAAAAUAAAUUUUCUGUGUAUAGUAGUGAGCAGGGUCGAAUCCACAGGAACUGGAAAAAAUUCGAUUCUUUUUAAAUUCGAGACACGGGGGAUUUUUUUUAUCAGAUAAAACUAAAAAUAAAUAAUUUAACAAUUUAACUAAAAAUAAUUAAUUAAUUAAUUAAUACAAAUGUAAAUAGCAAUCUAAUAAAUAAUAAAUAAAUUCUAGCCAAGGAUACAACUACGCAAACACAGUCCAUUCAUCCGAUCAUUGAUGCAAAGAAGGUUCACUUAAUUUUAUUAACAGGUUAGUUAUAGUCGCCGAUAAACUCUAACGACCAGCUUUUCCUUAAUUUAUUGAUAACCAAGGUACGGCCGUUGAUUAUCCCUAACCAGGAAAUACUCCUAGGUACGACCAUAGGAAUUAAUUUCCUAAUUGCAUUAAAAACUAUAAAAACCUAACCCAAAUUAAUAACACGCUACGAGGGUUAUUUAAAUCAGAUUGCAUGUUCCCCUAGUAUGUGAAAAUGCUAGUUGUCACUAAUAUUAACCAACUAAACAAUUACGGAUUUAAUUGAUUAAUUUGACAAGAGAUUAAUAAGUCAAAUUGCACAUCGGGCCCUUGAUAUCCAAUUAACAAAAUAAUCCCAUGGAAAUUCAAAUAGAAACAUAUUAACAAAUUAAGGAACACGUAAAAUUAAUUAGAUCUCAC